AAGUCGUAACAAGGUUUCCGUUGGUGAACCAGCGGAAGGAUCAUUACAGAGAUCAUGCCUUCCGGGGGUAGACCUCCCACCCUGUGUUAUUUACUCUUGUUGCUUUGGCAGGCCGCUUUGGGCUCCCGGCUUCGGCUGGGGCGCGCCUGCCAGAGGACCCAUAUUCUAUGUUUCUCUGUCGUCUGAGCACUAUAUAAUAAGUUAAAA
RNAcentral lists this unclassified non-coding RNA (207 nucleotides) under plant metagenome. RNAcentral describes it as "partial contains small subunit ribosomal RNA and internal transcribed spacer 1". The stretch from base 1 to 46 matches the Rfam family "Eukaryotic small subunit ribosomal RNA", at positions 1786 to 1831 of the family's 1831-position model. The record is from RNAcentral.